AUUCCGUUAGUAGUGGCGAGCGAAAGCGGAUUAGCCCAAACCGAUGUUGUUUCGGCAAUAUCGGGGUUGUAGGACCACGACAUUCGGUGCGUAAUGAACUGGAACAAGUUGGAAAGCUUGGCCGUAGAGGGUGAUAGCCCCUUACAGGUAAAGACCGUUACCGAUAGUGGUAUCCUGAGUAGCGCGGGGCACGUGAAACCUUGCGUGAAUCUGGCGGGACCAUCCGCCAAGGCUAAAUACUCCUGAGAGACCGAUAGUGAACCAGUACCGUGAGGG
This 276-nucleotide ribosomal RNA is filed under the name Skeletonema marinoi. RNAcentral describes it as "partial Bacterial large subunit ribosomal RNA". It matches the Rfam family "Bacterial large subunit ribosomal RNA", at positions 234 to 509 of the family's 2925-position model. Lineage: Eukaryota; Bacillariophyta; Thalassiosirophyceae; Thalassiosirales; Thalassiosiraceae. The record is from RNAcentral.